GCUGGCGGCGUGCCUAAUACAUGCAAGUCGAGCGAAUCGACGGGUAGCUUGCUCCCUGACAUUAGCGGCGGACGGGUGAGUAACACGUGGGCAACCUGCCUAUAAGACUGGGAUAACUUCGGGAAACCGGAGCUAAUACCGGAUACGUUCUUUUCUCGCAUGAGAGAAGAUGGAAAGACGGUUUACGCUGUCACUUAUAGAUGGGCCCGCGGCGCAUUAGCUAGUUGGUGAGGUAAUGGCUCACCAAGGCGACGAUGCGUAGCCGACCUGAGAGGGUGAUCGGCCACACUGGGACUGAGACACGGCCCAGACUCCUACGGGAGGCAGCAGUAGGGAAUCUUCCGCAAUGGACGAAAGUCUGACGGAGCAACGCCGCGUGAACGAAGAAGGCCUUCGGGUCGUAAAGUUCUGUUGUUAGGGAAGAACAAGUACCAGAGUAACUGCUGGUACCUUGACGGUACCUAACCAGAAAGCCACGGCUAACUACGUGCCAGCAGCCGCGGUAAUACGUAGGUGGCAAGCGUUGUCCGGAAUUAUUGGGCGUAAAGCGCGCGCAGGUGGUUCCUUAAGUCUGAUGUGAAAGCCCACGGCUCA
Molecule: ribosomal RNA, 594 nt
Filed under: Bacillus sp. AU3_03
Lineage: Bacteria; Bacillati; Bacillota; Bacilli; Caryophanales; Bacillaceae
Description: bacterial SSU rRNA
Rfam family: Bacterial small subunit ribosomal RNA
Source: RNAcentral